Molecule: ribosomal RNA, 2383 nt
Filed under: Campylobacter jejuni
Lineage: Bacteria; Pseudomonadati; Campylobacterota; Epsilonproteobacteria; Campylobacterales; Campylobacteraceae
Description: partial 23S ribosomal RNA
Rfam family: Bacterial large subunit ribosomal RNA
Source: RNAcentral
AGGUAAGCUACUAAGAGCGAAUGGUGGAUGCCUUGACUGGUAAAGGCGAUGAAGGACGUACUAGACUGCGAUAAGCUACGGGGAGCUGUCAAGAAGCUUUGAUCCGUAGAUUUCCGAAUGGGGCAACCCAAUGUAUAGAGAUAUACAUUACCUAUAUAGGAGCGAACGAGGGGAAUUGAAACAUCUUAGUACCCUCAGGAAAAGAAAUCAAUAGAGAUUGCGUCAGUAGCGGCGAGCGAAAGCGCAAGAGGGCAAACCCAGUGCUUGCACUGGGGGUUGUAGGACUGCAAUGUGCAAGAGCUGAGUUUAGCAGAACAUUCUGGAAAGUAUAGCCAUAGAGGGUGAUAGUCCCGUAUGCGAAAAACAAAGCUUAGCUAGCAGUAUCCUGAGUAGGGCGGGACACGAGGAAUCCUGUCUGAAUCCGGGUCGACCACGAUCCAACCCUAAAUACUAAUACCAGAUCGAUAGUGCACAAGUACCGUGAGGGAAAGGUGAAAAGAACUGAGGUGAUCAGAGUGAAAUAGAACCUGAAACCAUUUGCUUACAAUCAUUCAGAGCACUAUGUAGCAAUACAGUGUGAUGGACUGCCUUUUGCAUAAUGAGCCUGCGAGUUGUGGUGUCUGGCAAGGUUAAGCAAACGCGAAGCCGUAGCGAAAGCGAGUCUGAAUAGGGCGCUUAGUCAGAUGCUGCAGACCCGAAACGAAGUGAUCUAUCCAUGAGCAAGUUGAAGCUAGUGUAAGAACUAGUGGAGGACUGAACCCAUAGGCGUUGAAAAGCCCCGGGAUGACUUGUGGAUAGGGGUGAAAGGCCAAUCAAACUUCGUGAUAGCUGGUUCUCUCCGAAAUAUAUUUAGGUAUAGCGUUGUGUCGUAAUAUAAGGGGGUAGAGCACUGAAUGGGCUAGGGCAUACACCAAUGUACCAAACCCUAUCAAACUCCGAAUACCUUAUAUGUAAUCACAGCAGUCAGGCGGCGAGUGAUAAAAUCCGUCGUCAAGAGGGAAACAACCCAGACUACCAGCUAAGGUCCCUAAAUCUUACUUAAGUGGAAAACGAUGUGAAGUUACUUAAACAACCAGGAGGUUGGCUUAGAAGCAGCCAUCCUUUAAAGAAAGCGUAAUAGCUCACUGGUCUAGUGAUUUUGCGCGGAAAAUAUAACGGGGCUAAAGUAAGUACCGAAGCUGUAGACUUGCGCACAACUUAGAUUAUUUAAGUUUAGAAUAUGAGAAACUAAGUUAUGUUUAGUUAUAUUUUUACUGAUUUUUAUAGAGUAAAGAUAGAAAUAAAACUUAGUAAAAUCAGUAAAAAUAUUCUUAGGCUAAAGUUAAGUAGUUUAAGUUGUGUGCAAGUGGUAGGAGAGCGUUCUAUUUGCGUCGAAGGUAUACCGGUAAGGAGUGCUGGAGCGAAUAGAAGUGAGCAUGCAGGCAUGAGUAGCGAUAAUUAAUGUGAGAAUCAUUAACGCCGUAAACCCAAGGUUUCCUACGCGAUGCUCGUCAUCGUAGGGUUAGUCGGGUCCUAAGUCGAGUCCGAAAGGGGUAGACGAUGGCAAAUUGGUUAAUAUUCCAAUACCAACAUUAGUGUGCGAUGGAAGGACGCUUAGGGCUAAGGGGGCUAGCGGAUGGAAGUGCUAGUCUAAGGUCGUAGGAGGUUAUACAGGCAAAUCCGUAUAACAAUACUCCGAGAACUGAAAGGCUUUUUGAAGUCUUCGGAUGGAUAGAAGAACCCCUGAUGCCGUCGAGCCAAGAAAAGUUUCUAAGUUUAGCUAAUGUUGCCCGUACCGUAAACCGACACAGGUGGGUGGGAUGAGUAUUCUAAGGCGCGUGGAAGAACUCUCUUUAAGGAACUCUGCAAAAUAGCACCGUAUCUUCGGUAUAAGGUGUGGUUAGCUUUGUAUUAGGAUUUACUCCGAAAGCAAGGAAACUUACAACAAAGAGUCCCUCCCGACUGUUUACCAAAAACACAGCACUCUGCUAACUCGUAAGAGGAUGUAUAGGGUGUGACGCCUGCCCGGUGCUCGAAGGUUAAUUGAUGGGGUUAGCAUUAGCGAAGCUCUUGAUCGAAGCCCGAGUAAACGGCGGCCGUAACUAUAACGGUCCUAAGGUAGCGAAAUUCCUUGUCGGUUAAAUACCGACCUGCAUGAAUGGCGUAACGAGAUGGGAGCUGUCUCAAAGAGGGAUCCAGUGAAAUUGUAGUGGAGGUGAAAAUUCCUCCUACCCGCGGCAAGACGGAAAGACCCCGUGGACCUUUACUACAGCUUGACACUGCUACUUGGAUAAGAAUGUGCAGGAUAGGUGGGAGGCUUUGAGUAUAUGACGCCAGUUGUAUAUGAGCCAUUGUUGAGAUACCACUCUUUCUUAUUUGGGUAGCUAACCAGCUUGAGUUAUCC